UGCGUAGGGCGCAAGCGUUGUCCGGAAUUAUUGGGCGUAAAGAGCUCGUAGGCGGCUUGUCACGUCGGGUGUGAAAGCCCGGGGCUUAACCCCGGGUCUGCAUUCGAUACGGGCUAGCUAGAGUGUGGUAGGGGAGAUCGGAAUUCCUGGUGUAGCGGUGAAAUGCGCAGAUAUCAGGAGGAACACCGGUGGCGAAGGCGGAUCUCUGGGCCAUUACUGACGCUGAGGAGCGAAAGCGUGGGGAGCGAACAGG
RNAcentral lists this ribosomal RNA (253 nucleotides) under uncultured bacterium. Its description in RNAcentral is "partial 16S ribosomal RNA". It matches the Rfam family "Bacterial small subunit ribosomal RNA", at positions 524 to 776 of the family's 1533-position model. The record is from RNAcentral.